UUAAUACUCCCUCCAUCUUAAAAUUCUUGUCUUGAAUUUGUUUAGUUAUAAAUCUAUCUAGUCACGCUUUAGUAUUUAGAUACACUCAUUUCUAGAGAAAUUAAGACAAGAAUUUUUAAACGAAGGAAGUAUAUG
Molecule: non-coding RNA, 135 nt
Organism: Hordeum vulgare subsp. vulgare (domesticated barley)
Lineage: Eukaryota; Viridiplantae; Streptophyta; Magnoliopsida; Poales; Poaceae
Source: Rfam